ACCCGCUGAACUUAAGCAUAUCAAUAAGCGGAGGAAAAGAAACCAACAGGGAUUGCCCUAGUAACGGCGAGUGAAGCGAGCAACAGCUCAAAUUUGAAAUCUGGCUCUUUUAGAGUCCGAGUUGUAAUUUGCAGAGGGCGCUUUGGCUUUGGCAGCGGUCCAAGUUCCUUGGAACAGGACGUCACAGAGGGUGAGAAUCCCGUACGUGGUCGCUGGCUAUUGCCGUGUAAAGCCCCUUCGACGAGUCGAGUUGUUUGGGAAUGCAGCUCUAAAUGGGAGGUACAUUUCUUCUAAAGCUAAAUAUUGGCCAGAGACCGAUAGCGCACAAGUAGAGUGAUCGAAAGAUGAAAAGCACUUUGGAAAGAGAGUCAAACAGCACGUGAAAUUGUUGAAAGGGAAGCGCUUGCAGCCAGACUUGCUUACAGUUGCUCAUCCGGGCUUUUGCCCGGUGCACUCUUCUGUAGGCAGGCCAGCAUCAGUUUGGGCGGUAGGAUAAAGGUCUCUGUCACGUACCUCUCUUCGGGGAGGCCUUAUAGGGGAGACGACAUACUACCAGCCUGGACUGAGGUCCGCGCAUCUGCUAGGAUGCUGGCGUAAUGGCUGU
Molecule: ribosomal RNA, 604 nt
Filed under: uncultured fungus
Lineage: Eukaryota; Fungi
Description: eukaryotic LSU rRNA
Rfam family: Eukaryotic large subunit ribosomal RNA
Source: RNAcentral